CGCUAAUGUGCCCCGGACUCUGGGAUAGCCGGUUGAAAGAUCGGGUAAUACCAGAUGAUAUACCUUUAUCGCAUGAUAGAGGUCUCAAGGGUCCGCCGGUCUGGGAGCAGGCGAUUUCGUAUCAGCUAGUUGGUGAGGUAACGGCUCACCAAGGCGAUGACGCGUAGCCGGACUGAGAGGUUGGCCGGCCACAUUGGGACUGAGACACUGCCCAG
Molecule: ribosomal RNA, 215 nt
Filed under: uncultured bacterium
Lineage: Bacteria
Description: partial 16S ribosomal RNA
Rfam family: Bacterial small subunit ribosomal RNA
Source: RNAcentral